GACGAACGCUGGCGGCGUGCUUAACACAUGCAAGUCGAACGCUGAAGCUCAGCUUUUGUUGGGUGGAUGAGUGGCGAACGGGUGAGUAACACGUGAGUAACCUGCCCCCUUCUUUGGGAUAACGCCCGGAAACGGGUGCUAAUACUGGAUAUUCACUGGUCUUCGCAUGGGGGUUGGUGGAAAGGGUUUUUCUGGUGGGGGAUGGGCUCGCGGCCUAUCAGCUUGUUGGUGGGGUGAUGGCCUACCAAGGCUUUGACGGGUAGCCGGCCUGAGAGGGUGACCGGUCACAUUGGGACUGAGAUACGGCCCAGACUCCUACGGGAGGCAGCGGUGGGGAAUAUUGCACAAUGGGCGCAAGCCUGAUGCAGCGACGCCGCGUGAGGGAUGGAGGCCUUCGGGUUGUGAACCUCUUUCGCUCAUGGUCAAGCCGCAACAAUGGUUGUGGUGAGGGUAGUGGGUAAAGAAGCGCCGGCUAACUACGUG
Molecule: ribosomal RNA, 483 nt
Filed under: uncultured bacterium
Lineage: Bacteria
Description: partial 16S ribosomal RNA
Rfam family: Bacterial small subunit ribosomal RNA
Source: RNAcentral